CCAUUUUUCAUGAAAUUUGUACCAAAAUGAAGCUAGGGACAUCUACAAUCACGUUAUAACAGUUUUAAGACCUAAAAACUGCUACAUUUUCCUAGGGAAAGCUCGAUAGAUCGGCUUACCUAGGAUAGCUUCGAUCCGACGUCCAAAUCCUUUCAACGAAGUACCCCUAGACUCGUGAGGACCUCCUUAAGCUUCCUAUUUCCUUAGAAUUCCCUGAAACACAAGGUUUUACGUGUGCAUGAACAGUGCACAAAAUCGGGGUUAAGGUUUUGUCGGGUUUUAGAAGCAUUCUCGUCCAAACAAGGGUAUCAAUGUACUCAGGAGGUUACAAUGAGCAAGAACCUUACCUUUAAAGCUUCAAUCCACGAAGUUUCAAGGGCUUUGGAUGUUUGUCCGUACGAGUUUGAAGGAGGGAGAGAAUGAGAGUCUGAGAGAGAUGAGAGGGUACGGGAGAGAGAAGAGAGAGAGUGUGUGUGUGUGGCCUAGGAUUGGUCAACCACCAAAAAAUACCAUAACUUAAUCCUAAUUGGUUCCAAACAAUUAGGAUUUAAGAAUAUUAACCCAAAGCUAUACUUAAACCACAUUAUACAACUAACGUCCAAGGGUAUUUUCAUCAAUUCACGCCGUCGAUAAACAUAUAUUUGGGACGGGCUGUGACAGAUAGUGUUUUGCUGCCCAUAAUUUUUUUUUAAUUUAAAAUAUCAUGGGAUUGUGGUUUUAAGAUUUUAACAAAAAUUUAUAUGAAUUUUGGUGAAUUUUGAUGCUCAAUGGACUUCGUUAACAGCUUCUAACUUUGUUAUGCUUUGGAAUAUUAGUGGGUUUUCAUCAAAUUUUGCUUAUAUCUUUAUUCAGUGUUUUUGUUGUAUUAUCUGGUCAAAGAUACCUUCGUUCAGUAAUUUGAGAAGCAUGGGCAUAUAAUAGACUAAUCAAAGAGAUGGAUGUGAUCAACGAUAAAGAGGUAAGCAUCAUCCCCUUCCUUCUUUUGUUAUGAUUGGUUGUAUGGAGAAUUAAGAAAAAAGUUGAAGACAAUUCUGUGCUUUUGCGUUAUAGCAAUUAGUAAAUAUAAAAUGAUAUUGAUUAGUUCGUUGAUGUGUUGGAUCCUUCGUUAGUUUUAUCUGUGGUGUGUGCUUAAGGAUGAAAGCAAUGGACAUUAUAUGGAAUUGAUGUUCCUUUUAAUGUCAGUAAAGAAAGGAAUUGUUCCUUUAUUAGCAAUUAUAUGAAGUAGGCAUAUUAUGCAAUACAAAGUCUACAAUCGACUAUUUUACUUUUUGUAUAUAAGUAUAACUUUUGAUCGUAAGCCACAUAUGUCACAUCCCGAUCCCGACAUACGUCCAGUAUCAACACGUGACGUCACCAAAUACCCGUAUCUCUAACAUACCUCUCCUCCGGGAUAUGGGCAAAACACAACUAGAGAUCCAAUUGCGUAAUAAUUUUUUCGUAUAUUUUAUGGCUGCAUCUAAACUCCUCAUUAGACUGCCUACGUACCCUCAAUAGGGAUCAAGCCAUUCGUAGUUCGUCAUUUCACUACACUCAAACAUCCAUCACAUAAAUCGCUAUGUCUCAACAAUAUAUCACAAUGCAUACCAUGCAAUUUGUCAAAGAACCAAUGACGAAGCACAAUAUUCUUCUCAAGCCACAUUGAUCAACUAAAAUAAUCAUAACAAUAACAUCCAUUUCCAAAGUCAUUCCGCAAUUCCGUCAAUUAAUCAAUUCAUGAAUCAAAAUUGCAUGAUCUUAACAUUUAUUUACGUUAAUCAAUCAAUGCGAUAAAAUAUCAUUUUACGAACUUAACCAAGGAACUUUAUAUAAUUUCCUACUUGGAUUAUGAGCAAUAACAUGGUAAAUAAAUUCACAAGGCUAAAUGUGGGUAAUUCACAUUCACUUGAAUCUAGGAUUCUAAGAUAACCUCAUGGAAAUGAGCAAGAGCAAGGAUUCCAUACCACUUUUCUCAUAAUCUACCCAGACCUGUCACAUGUAAAAUCAAUGCCUACAUUAUGGGAAUGGUACACUGGGCAAAUCAGGCACUCAGAUAAGCUGCGAAGCUUAGGUGAGUGACAAUG
RNAcentral lists this long non-coding RNA (2060 nucleotides) under Malus domestica (apple). Its description in RNAcentral is "long non-coding RNA (MDOM_LNC004206)". The record is from RNAcentral. Lineage: Eukaryota; Viridiplantae; Streptophyta; Magnoliopsida; Rosales; Rosaceae.